Ribosomal RNA from Ochotona princeps (American pika), 116 nucleotides. The record is from Ensembl. Lineage: Eukaryota; Metazoa; Chordata; Mammalia; Lagomorpha; Ochotonidae.
GUCCACGGCCAUACCACCCCGAACGCGCCCGAUCUCGUCUGAUCUUGGAAGUUAAGCAGGGUCGGACCUGGUUAGUACUUGGAUGGGAGAUCUGGGACUCCUCAAUGACAUGCAUG